AGGAGCAGCUGAUCUUGUCCUUCA
Molecule: non-coding RNA, 24 nt
Filed under: Arabidopsis thaliana (thale cress)
Lineage: Eukaryota; Viridiplantae; Streptophyta; Magnoliopsida; Brassicales; Brassicaceae
Source: RNAcentral